UUUAAGUGUAGCUGUGGGUUUGUGCAUCUAACAUUUCACCAUCCAUCUUAUUUGAAUUUUUUUAUGAUUAGUAUUUUUGUUGUUAUUAGAUGAUAAAAUAUGAAUAAUACUUUAUGUGAUUUUUUUAUAAACUUUUCAAAUAAGGCGGAUGGUCAAACGUUUCACACGAAAACCUACAACUACACUUAAA
This is a non-coding RNA of Oryza meridionalis, 190 nucleotides long. NCBI's taxonomy places the organism in Eukaryota, Viridiplantae, Streptophyta, Magnoliopsida, Poales, Poaceae. The record is from Rfam.